AUGAACUCGAACAAACUCCCGGGGCCUGAAAGGCAGCUGGGGAAGAGGGGUCAGCAGGAGGGCCGGAUCCUGGCGCUCCCGUGCCAGGCGGCACUGCCCGGCCCCUCCUGGCAUCUUGGCCAGGACAAGGUGGCCGGGAAGGGAAUGCCCAGCGUAAAGCAGCCUGAAGCUGGGGAUUUUGCCCAAAAUGCUGAUUAUGGAUGGCUGCUGGCAGGUGACGGCAGGAUUAAUGCGCUUUUAAAGCAGCGGCGAGUUAACCGAGAAAUCAAUCCUUGGCACGGCCUGGCCCGUGGUCCCUGCACCUGGGCAGCGGGAUCCUUUCCCAGCUCCUCUCCAGGACUUGGGAAGCGCCGGGGCUUGGCGGCGGCGCAGGGCGCUGGGCGCUGGCCAAGCUGGCACGGCGCGGCGCGACCGCGGGGGAUGCCUGCCCGGGGCCGACGUGACGGAUGGCGAGCCCGGCCGCGCGCCCGCUGCAAGCUGGGACCCGGCAGCGGGAUGCCCGUGGGCACCCUCUGCAUCCCCAUCCCUCCGCCUUCCCUCCCCGAGGGAGCUCAGGCUCUUGCUGGUGCUAAUUUGGGGCAUCCAAACCCUCCAAAAUGCUCUGGUACCCGAACCCCACAAAGGUUUGGCGCUGGGCACCACCCCGCCGUGAUGCUGUGCACCCCUCAGCACUGGCUCGGUGCCGGACCCCCCCGGCCACAUUGUGGGGACGUCACCGGCGAUGCCACGCGGCGCUGGCCCUACCCAACAAAGCCGAGCAGCCGUCGAGGCCCCAGCUGCUCCCCGACGCCUUUGGGCAGAGCGCGGGCUCCUCCGCCCUGCCCCGACCUGCCUGGCGCACCCCGGGGUGCCGCGGGAGAAAUCCCCGCCCCGCGGGUCCCCAAGGUGCAAAUUGCACCCUCGUGCUGCUCACAUACCCGGGGAACUGCCCUUACCCCCCCCCCCAACAGCCUGGGCACAGGGAUGGGGGACACAGAUACCCCUUGCCCCCCCGAGUGCUCAGCCCCCUCGGCGGUGCUCAGCACCACUCAGGCGCGCCGUCACGUCCAUCCCCGUGCAGGAAGAGCCGCAGCACGGACGGGGGCGGCAGGCAGCGAGCCAGCCUUGCACGGAGCUGUUUUGCCUCCCCCCCAGCCCUCCUUCUCCCCCGCCAACAAGGGACCCUGUUGCAGCCGCCAUCCCCGUCCCCGCGGCUCUGUUUGUCCCAAUCCCCGUCCCCGCAGCUCUGCUCCUCCCUGGGAGCCGCGCGGUGGCACGGGCACCAAGCCUCAGGGGCCAGGCGCGGGGAAGGCUGGCACGGGCGGUGUAGGGCAGGGAAGGCAGACGAGCAGGCAGGGCAAGCUGUCCCUGUGCCCAGGGCCGCCCCCAGCCAGCCCUGUCUGCAGGGACCCCUCUCCAUCACCUCACAGGCAGGGGACACUGUGCCCCUUUAUCUGCUUGCGUGCAAAACCCAGGCGAGUCGUGAGCGGAUGCCAAAUAUCACCGUGGCCGGCGCAUGAUGAGUGUCUAACGUGGAGAGGAGGGUGCCAGGCACCCAGGGACCUCCCGGCUUCCCCUUGCUGGCAGAGCCCCAGCCCGAGUGCUGGGGUCCGAGCCCCACGCACAAGUGCCUGCACCACGCUCUGCGCAGCCAUCAGCUGCACCCAGGGCCCUACAACAGGGCCUGAAUGCAGAGCUCGGAGCCCCGACCCCCCCCCCGCUGCACCCAGCUCAGGCCAGGAAAACAAAACCCUCGCACACCGCGAAUCCCUCGCCGCCACCGUGGCAUCCGCGCCGGGGCUGCCCGGCCGGCACGGCCGCUCCCCGGGGAGCGAGGGGCCGCAGCGCACGCCCUUCGCCGCGCCGUGCCAAGGGGAACCGAGGGCACGCGGCCAGCUCGGCUCUGCCCGCGCCCUGGCCACGCUGCAACGACUCCCACAAGCUAGAAAAAGCCGCCGGGUCAAGGCUGGAGGGCUCAGACUACAGCUCCCAGCAUCCUUCCCCAGCCAGCCCGGCCUCGGGGAGAAAGAAGGCAACAAACGGAGCAAUUCCCCGCUCGCUCGAAGAUGCACGGGUCAGGCUUUGUUUCUCCAGGCUCCCUGCACAAGCGUGCAUGCGGCUGCGGCGCUGGGCACGCUUUGGGCUCCUCGAGGAAGCGGCGGGGGAGAAGGGGCGAGCGGAGCUGCCGGGAAGGGUGAAUUAUCGCCGGGCGCCUCGGUGCGCAGGAGGAGGACGGCUAAUUUAUUGUGCACAGCCCCGGCCAAGUUCAAGGUGAUGUCGCGGAGGCUGGCGCAGCAGCAAGGGCCUCAUCCUGCCCGCACCAGCGCCCUACGUCCUCCUGUCCUGCUCGCGGCUGGGUUCAUAAAUUGCUCUUAA
This 2355-nucleotide long non-coding RNA is filed under the name Anser brachyrhynchus (Pink-footed goose). Its description in RNAcentral is "lncRNA (ENSABRG00000020911.1)". Lineage: Eukaryota; Metazoa; Chordata; Aves; Anseriformes; Anatidae. The record is from RNAcentral.